AGGUUAAGUAUAACGGAGCCGAAGGGAAACCGAGUCUGAAUAGGGCGAAUUAGUCGUUGGUUGUAGACGCGAAACCUGGUGAUCUAUGCCUGUCCAAGAUGAAGCUGUGGUAAGACACAGUGGAGGUCUGAACCCACCGUCGUUGAAAAGCCGGGGGAUGAGGUAGGUAUAGGGGUGAAAAGCCAAUCGAACCAGGAGAUAGCUCGUUCUCUCCGAAAUGCAUUUAGGUGCAGCCUUGAUUGUUUAAAUAUGGGGGUAGAGCACUGAAUGGUCUAGCGGGCAUAUUGCUUAGCGAAAUCAAUCAAACUCCGAAUACCAUAUUUCAAGAGAUCAGGAGUGAGACUAUGGGUACUAAGAUCCAUGGUCAAAAGGGAAACAGCCCAGACCACCAACUAAGGUCCCAAAUUAUAUCUAAGUGGGAAAGGAGGUGGAGAUUCUGAAACAACCAGGAUGUUGGCUUAGAAGCAGCCAUACAUUUAAAGAGUGCGUAAUAGCUCACUGGUCGAGAGUCUCUGCGCCGACAAUGUAACGGGGCUAAGAUAUAAACCGAAGUUGUGGAGUAUACACUAUGUGUAGACUGGUAGGAGAGCGUUCCGUAGGCCGUUGAAGGAUAAGGGGUGACCCAAUCUGGAGGUAUCGGAAGUGAGAAUGCAGGAAUGAGUAGCGAGAAAGAGGGUGAGAAUCCCUCUCGCCGGAAAACCAAGGUUUCCAGAGUAAAGCUUGUCUUCUCUGGGUAAGCCGGGACCUAAGCCGAGGCUAGAUUGCGUAGGCGAAUGGAAAGCAGUUUAAUAUUACUGCGCCACUAUAAUUUGUUUGAGAGAUGGAGGGACGCAGAAGGGUAUGUGCGCAGACUGUUGGAUAUGUCUGUGUAAGCAUGUAGGAUGGAACCGCAGGAAAAUCCACGGUUUUAGAUCUGAGGUGUUAUGCGGAGUGUUUGUAAUGAACACGAAGGUACAAAUCCCACGCUGCCGAGAAAAGCUUCUAUUGAGAAUUAAAGUGCCCGUACCGUAAACCGACACAGGUGGUUAGGAUGAGAAAUCUAAGGCGUACAGGCUAACUCUCGCUAAGGAACUCUGCAAAAUGGCCCCGUAACUUCGGGAGAAGGGGUGCCAUUAAAGGUAAUAGAAACACGCGUUCUAAAGCUUUUGAUGGCCGCAGUGAAGAGAUUCGAGCAACUGUUUAGCAAAAACACAGGUCUAUGCUAAGCUGAAAGGCGAUGUAUAUGGGCUGACACCUGCCCAGUGCCGGAAGGUUAAGAGGAGGGUUUAGCGACUCAAAUUGAAGCCCCGGUGAACGGCGGCCGUAACUAUAACGGUCCUAAGGUAGCGAAAUUCCUUGUCGGGUAAGUUCCG
This 1352-nucleotide ribosomal RNA is filed under the name bioreactor metagenome. Its description in RNAcentral is "bacterial LSU rRNA". It matches the Rfam family "Bacterial large subunit ribosomal RNA", at positions 643 to 1985 of the family's 2925-position model. The record is from RNAcentral.